Long non-coding RNA from Passer domesticus (house sparrow), 1614 nucleotides. RefSeq lists it as uncharacterized. NCBI's taxonomy places the organism in Eukaryota, Metazoa, Chordata, Aves, Passeriformes, Passeridae. The record is from RefSeq and is a predicted model, not a curated record. The transcript is spliced from 3 exons.
CACAGGCUGCAGGCCCUGCACACAGGUGCUGACGGCCCUGCUUGAGGGCUCCUCUGCCAUGCUCAGCCCAGCUGCAGAUCUGCAGAUCAGGGAGCCAGUGGAAGAACUGGGAAAAGCUCCAUUGGUUUAACUGAGGAGACUCAGAGGAGCCAGGUCAGGUGAUGGGAGGAGCUCCAAAGGCAGUGAAGUGGCCAUGUCUGGGGCACAACUGCAGGAUUAGCCCUUCCUAGCGUGGUGCAGCUGUGGUACCAUUUGGUAGCAGAGAUUUCCUGGCUCAACCGUGCUGCAGCCUGGUGGAAUUUGUGCCGAGAGUGAUUCUCUUCUACACGACCCAGUGAUUUCAAGGGGAGGUAAAGAGCACUCAGAUGGGUGUGCUGACAUGUGAAGUAACACUCAUUUGUGAGUCUGCAGUGCACUGUUGAUUGUAAGGGUUUGAAUUUUCCUGGGAGGUUGCUGCUUUCAGAAUAGAUCACAAAAGAGAAGCUCUCGUCUUUGAGCUAUUGAUAUUUUCAGCCUUCCUUAAAUAUUUGUUCCCUUUGAUACUGCUGGCAGAUUCUCUUCUGCCUCGGUUUGGAAAGGCCUGAUCCAGUGCUCCUGGUUCAGAAGAGAGAGAAAGGCUUCUCAGGACCACCCUGGGCAUUCACACCUCCAGGUGUUCUGCUCAGGGACUCUGUCAGUUUGUGCUGCUGAGAAAUGAGCAGCCACAUCAAAACCUUCUUGCUCAGUUUGACCAGAAUCUACCUCAGCCCAGACUGUGAGAAAACUCAACUCAAUGGCCUCUGGGGUAUUUACAGCCAGAAAUUUGGUGUAAAAAAGCAUGUCAGGUUGAAUCCAUGCUUGAGAGUGUGAAAAUAAGCAGUCUCUAUUAACAUGACUGUCAUCCAGUGACAAGCCAGUGUUUAGUGUGAACUCCUCACAUAAUAAAAAAUCAUUGGUUGAUCUGAGGGUUUUUUACUUUUACACUAUUGUGACAAGCAUAGUUUUAAAAGCUUGCCCAAAUGGGGGACUUUGGAGUAGUCCCCACUGGGAAUUUGGAUGCUCCCAUGAUAAACACUUAGUGAUCACACCACACCACCUUUAUUGCUGCUGCUGCAUCUGACCUCACUGCAACUACAAAGCAGUUUCACAUUCCCUUUUUUUAUGAAUGCAGAUGCUGCUGAACUUCAUUCCUAUCCUGUAGAGAUCUGGUGAUCAACAGAUUGGGUUUUUUAAUCGGAGUAAAGAGAUAUUCAAAACUGAUUGUAUGAAAGGAAAAAUCCUAGGAUUUGUUGAUGAAAGAGUUCAGCUUUUGGAAUAAAACUCUCAUCAGUCUUAAUUACCUCUGGUGUUGUCUGUAGGAAAACCUUCAUAACAAUUCCAUGUUCUUCAAACUCUUUCUCCUUUUUCACUGAAGAUGAGAGAUGAAUAAAACUAAAAUGGAAUUAUGUCAUCUGUAGCUUCCUUAGAGGAGAAAUAGCACUUUGGAGGAGGUCAGUCUCAGUUGGACAUGAGGUCAGUCUUAUAAUAUAAGAGGAGGUUUGGAAGACUCAAAUGAGCUCAGCUCUGGAUUGAGUACAACUGAUGAAGCAAAAACUUUGGUCUUAGAAAGAUGGUGUGUUUGCACGUAAAACCAUU